GCUUUGUUUCUCCUCUUUCAGUAUCUUCAUGACCCCACCUACUUUAACAGUGGGGCCUUUAAAGCUUUGAAAUAUCAAGAAGUUGAGAACAACAUUAGCUUUAUCAGGACAACCUGCAACCACAGAGCGACCUCAAGAUUGAAAAGCCUGAGAGGAGUAGGCAUAGAGCACUUCAGACCUGAUCAACCUUUCCGAGAAGAUGCUGCUGCUCUGUUCUGGUUGGCUAAUCUCCUACCCUCCAGGGCUGAAGGAGCUCAGUCAGCGUGACUCUGGGGGCCCACGACAUCCUGAAUCAAGAGUGGACCCUGCAGGUCAUCCCUGUGAAAGAAGCCAUCCGCCACCCAGACUAUAUUCCUGGAGACUUCUUCAACGACAUCAUGAUACUAAAGUUGGAGAGAAAAGCCAAGCUGACUGCAGCUGUGCUGCCCCUCAGCAUCUCCAGGGGCACAGCUCAGGUGAGACCCAUAGAUGUGUGCCAUGUGGCCAGUUGAGGGCAAAUCGCCCCAAAAGGCAUCGUUUCCAACACGCUGCGGGAGGUGGAGCUGACUGUGGAGUAGGACGAGGUGUGCGAAUCCCACUUAUAUGAUCAUUACAAUAGUAGCACUCUGCUGUGCAUGGGGGACCUGAAGGAAAGGAAGACUUCCUCUGAGGGGGACUCUGGGAGCCCACUCAUCUGUAAGAACAUGCUCUAGGGCCUUGCCCUCCAUGGACAAGAUGACAGGACAAGUCCACGGGUCGUCAUCAAACUCUCAAGCUUCCAGCCCUGGAUAAAGGAAACCAUGAAAUCCUAUGAAAAGCCUCUAACUGUAGGAACCAGCCCACCUUCUCUGGAGCUGAUCCAGAAUGUCACCAGCAACCAAAUAAAUGUCUCUGAGCUGAGUAGGAA
RNAcentral lists this long non-coding RNA (886 nucleotides) under Equus asinus (donkey). RNAcentral's name for it is "lncRNA (ENSEASG00005024738.1)". Lineage: Eukaryota; Metazoa; Chordata; Mammalia; Perissodactyla; Equidae. The record is from RNAcentral.